GCUCGUGUCCCAUGCAACGGACACCCGCGAACCAGGUCAGACGGGGAACCGAGCAGCCUUAAGUGGUGCUGGCCGUGUGUCGUGGAGCAGCAUGGGCGGG
Molecule: signal recognition particle RNA, 100 nt
Filed under: Deltaproteobacteria bacterium
Lineage: Bacteria; Pseudomonadati; Myxococcota; Myxococcia
Description: signal recognition particle sRNA small type
Rfam family: Bacterial small signal recognition particle RNA
About the family: The signal recognition particle (SRP) is a universally conserved ribonucleoprotein involved in the co-translational targeting of proteins to membranes. Archaeal SRP consists of a 7S RNA and homologues of the eukaryotic SRP19 and SRP54 proteins.
Source: RNAcentral